UGUGUGUGUGAGUGUUGUGCGGCUGAGGGAGAUAAGAGGGUGGAGUCAGUGGGCUAGGGUGAGGGUUGGGCUUUGGGGUAGGGCUUUGUUAGAGAGUGGGCCGAUUUUAAUUAGUAGUGGGCUCGAGUCAUGGGCCGAGAUUUUAUUUAUUUUUGUUUCAGCUGGGCUUUUAAUUUUUAAAUCUGUUGGGCCUUUAUUAAUUUAUUUAAUUGGAUUUAUGCAGAUUUUUAUUUAAAGGAGAUACACUAUUUUAAUUAAUUAGACUUAUUAAGUUUGAUUAAUUAUUUUUAAUUUGCAUAAUAAUAUUAUAUUAUUAUUAUGUGCAUAUUUUAAGUAAAUUACUUAUUAUAUGCUAAGCAUGACAUGAAAUUGCAUUAUAUUUUGCAAUAAAAGUAUUUAUGAUUUAAUUGGUUUUAUUUAUAAUUCCAAUUAUUAAAGGAAGAUGAGUAAGAAUAUUGUUGGUGUUCUUAACUCAAGAGAAAUGUUUUCAAUUAUUUAUUUAUUAAAUUUUGAAAACCCGGCUAAGUGAAUCAUAGAAUGUUAAGCACUACACCAUGACUUAAGAUUAGAUUUAAGGAGACCUAUUGAGAAUAGAAUUUCUUGUAGGCUUUGUGACCAGGGGGAUUAGCGCUGCUUUCCCAAGACAGGUUUAUAUGUGAUUAUGAUCUUCAGGCUUUGCCUAACCAGGUUGGCUGGCCGGUGCUGACGGGACGGAGCUGAGGCUAGAGAUAAAUUCCUAUGUUAGACUUCCGCUGUAGCAAUUACUCAUAUCAGUCUUUUGUUUUCCCAACUUAAGAUCUUCAUGUUAAAUUUCAAAUGAUAUACCUGACCGAGCUUAGACUCUUCACUACUUAAUUUAUGCCAAUGAAUGUCAGUUGUCAGAAGCAUGAAACAAAACUUGUGAUCCAAAGGGGCAUAGCCCGACUUUCUAUCCUAUUUCGGAUUUUUACAAG
Molecule: long non-coding RNA, 953 nt
Organism: Salvia miltiorrhiza (redroot sage)
Lineage: Eukaryota; Viridiplantae; Streptophyta; Magnoliopsida; Lamiales; Lamiaceae
Exons: 2
Source: RefSeq, a predicted model, not a curated record